CAGGGAGACAACAAAAUGUUUAAUAUUAUUAUUUUGUCACCUUAGGUCGAUCGGUAUCUCACGUUCUUAAUUUAUUAAGGAUUUCAUUUCCUAAGUUUUUCUAGGUCACACCCAUAAUUUUUCCUGGGCCAUUAGCUCAGGUGGUUAGAGCGCACCCCUGAUAAGGGUGAGGUCCCUGGUUCAAGUCCAGGAUGGCCCAUACUCUAUGUUGGGGGUAUAGCUCAGUUGGUAGAGCGCCUGCUUUGCAAGCAGGAUGUCAGCGGUUCGAGUCCGCUUACCUCCACUGAUUACCACCUCUCCCAUAAUCUGUAUUAAGGAAAAGUUUUGAGUUGUGAUCAAAUUCUGAACGAAUCUAGCUUCCUGAUGAAAUCAUUAAGAUGCUGGACUCAUUGAAUUAAUUUCAUUGUUUUCAGAGAACCUUGACAACUGCAUAGAUUAUUUUUAAAGACAAUAAGCAUCUUUAGUGAUGCAGAUUUAUUAUUUGUGCGAAUGCAUUAAUAACAAUUCUAUUAAGCUGAUGCUUCAAUUUUGAAGUUAUU
This 539-nucleotide transfer RNA is filed under the name uncultured Prochlorococcus sp. Its description in RNAcentral is "partial 16S-23S ribosomal RNA intergenic spacer". The stretch from base 211 to 283 matches the Rfam family "tRNA". Lineage: Bacteria; Bacillati; Cyanobacteriota; Cyanophyceae; Synechococcales; Prochlorococcaceae. The record is from RNAcentral.